Molecule: unclassified non-coding RNA, 1133 nt
Filed under: Pectinophora gossypiella (pink bollworm)
Lineage: Eukaryota; Metazoa; Arthropoda; Insecta; Lepidoptera; Gelechiidae
Description: uncharacterized LOC126373008
Source: RNAcentral
GUCUACAAUGACGUCACUCCUCGAGCAGCACGGGCGCGGGGUGAUUAACCGCGACCAGCGGCGCCGCGGCGGCCGGCCGCUGCCACACCGCGACGCACGCCCCGCACCACUCGCAAUUUUCAUAUAGAAGAGGACACACGCGCGCUUGUCGUAGCCUUUAUUCCUAAUAUUUGUAACGUACCUACUACAAAAAUAAAUUGUCUUCAUUAUAAAAGGUCAUUAUUUUAUUUGUCUUGCCUAGACAAAUAUUGGCGACCGUCGAUAAAUCGGCUCGGAAUUACGAAGUCUAAAAUUCCAAAUUUGUAAUCGUAACGGACAUAUCAUCUUGGAGGAGUCAGUGCCUGGCGUUCUGCGGGACUUCUGUGUCAGCAGGGGAGUGCUCUUUCCUUGUUCCUUUGAUUUUCCAUCCUCCUUUAAUUGUGAAAGUGUAUAAAUCUCUGAGUGAGUAAAAUUGCAUUUACCUACAUAAUAGCUAUCGAAUUUGUAUGCGGGUAAAAAUCCAUUAGUUUUUGCUUGUAACCAAAUCCGAUAUACAUAAUACAGCCUUAAUGGUGACUGCCUACGCUUUAUAUGAUCAUUACGUGCCUCAUAAUUGUUAAAGCGCAGCGUAGGUACCUGCAUACCUUAUCAUUAUAGAUAAACUUUAACGUUUUAAUUUCACGUUUCAUAAGCUAUAUACAGCUGUAUUUUUGUACCCACUAUCGCAAGCGUUGCAGUCUGCUUCUUCUUAAUAGCUAAACUUUAAUACGAAAUAUCACCUCAUUUAUUAAAAUUCACCCGCUUUGUGAUAAAAUUCCGUCAAUUACCUACGUUCUUCAACUUGUCACUUCCUAUGCCCUUAGUUAAAAAUCGUAAGUUAUCUUAAUUACGUAUCGAUAUUCACGUAAAUUUACCUAAACAAUUCCAGGUAAUAAUAUUCCUACGGUCACACGUACUGCGCGUGAUCAAGCGCUGGCGCGUUGGGUCCACGCAUUUACACCGUGACGCCAGCCGCACGGCGGCCUAUCACACCGUGCAGUAGCAGCUACGGGGAUUGGAUCGUUGAACAAUCAACACUGGGGGCACUUCCUCAUCGGGCGGCCGCUGACGUCACUGCCGGCACCACCGGGCGACAACAUGAAACUUAAGAACCG